CUUGGUAAAGAUAUACAUUAUUGUCAUUAUUUGUGGACUACUGUGGUUGGCAAGACAGCUGUGGUGCAGCUGUGUCUGAGAGAAUGAGCCAGUUUACUGUCACUGACUAAAUGAAACUCUUUUUGUCUUUGUUUUUUUUGGUCUGAUUUAUGAGCACAUGUAAACCUAAAGGGCACCAGGGUCAUCGUCUUAUUGGUGAGACGCAUUAGCACUUGAAAGGAUCAAAUCAUUGCAGACAACACUGACUUCUCUACUGGAAUUUAAGCAGUAUUUCAAACUGGACAAUCCACAAGCAGAAGAAGCACGAGGCACCCUAACAAAGCACAUCCCCGCUUCAAAAUCCAAAGAGCCGGACGAGCUGAAGUGAACUUUCUUCCCAACUUUCCCCAAGAAUAAAACCAGAGCAGUGUGGAAGAAAUGAGACUGCAGAUGAAACAUGAAGUUCAAAAGAGUGACUGAAACCUGAAGUUAAUAGAAAACUUCAUGCAGAUGACCUUUGCCCUCCAUCACCAGAUCAUUCAGGCACAUCCAUUGGUGAAAGACUUCCUGCAGCCGGGCCUUCAGAUCCAAUCACAGGUUUGUGCUGAAGUCCACGGUAUCCCAAAUGUCAGCCUGUGUAACCAGUGUUAUGCUGAUUAUGACAAACGCACACCUAGACUGUCGGCUUUGUAGCGGUACAGAAAAAAGGCAGCACGCACGGGAAAGAUAUCGGGCACACUGCGUGAUGAGAUCCAGCAGUUUCCAGAUGUUUGCGUGAAAUGUUUGGCGGUCCUUCGUGCCCACCCUGUGUACCUGUGUGAAGGGGACCCACACUUCCUGAAGACAUAGAAUCCGGAGAAGACAGAUGCUCAUCAACACUCCUGUUGUGCUUGUAACAGCGGUGAACGUGUGUUGUACAAGUCCAGUUAACAUCACUCCUGCAAGCACUGCAACGGUGGUGGAAGAUGAUCAUGUAAAAAGUGAAAUCCCCAUGUGGACCGAUGCAGUUACAUUGUUGUUUGGAUUGACACGUUGCAUUUGGACUGCCCGAGGGAACCUGUUCACACUUUGACCUUCAUUCAGAAGAUCCUGAUGGGUCUGGAUGGCAAAGAACUGAAACCGUGACUUCUCAGUCUAAAUAAUGAACUGUUUCUAACAGAGUAAGUAAUGUUUCGUGCAACUGUUCUGUUUGUUGUUUGCAUGCAUGUACACCUGCAAAUAUGUUUGUGGUUUCAAGUUCCAUGACUUGACAUUAUGCUGAAUGCAUCAUUGGACUUUAAUCAAACAGUUUACAUUUGAUACAUAAGUUUAUUAAUAUUUCCUGCUCUCCAAAUAUGUAGUUGGCUCAAAUUUGCACAGUUUCCAAAAGAAACGGAUAAAGAAGGGAGAUCAAUUUGUGAGAUAUUGUUUAAUUUCUUUCUUAUUUUGGUAAGUUUUCUGUUUUUUUGUUUUUUUUAUCAAGUCUUAUGUUUUUUCAGUCUCAAUGUAUUUGACACAACCAGACCUCAUGUUCUCUGUCACACACACACACACACAGCCUCUCGUGCACUCCUACACAAUCAUCCACAUUUGCCCAUAGCCAUCAAGAGUUGUUUCACUUUGUCUGGAGUCCUGCUUGUGAGUGCAGAGGUGCUUUCUUGUGCUGUGUAUGUGCAGGUUUUCCUUUGUGUCAGUGAUUUCCCCCUGAUUUCUGAGGCAGGGCUGAUCUGUAAGUUUUUGGAAAAUGAAAAUCUGAAUACAUUUGUUUCUUCAUGUCAUCUAAGACAGAUAGCUAGAGCACUUAGAAAUAUAAAGAAUUUCAUGACAAUAAAAGUUUUUACUGUUG
Molecule: long non-coding RNA, 1804 nt
Organism: Archocentrus centrarchus (flier cichlid)
Lineage: Eukaryota; Metazoa; Chordata; Actinopteri; Cichliformes; Cichlidae
Exons: 6
Source: RefSeq, a predicted model, not a curated record